RNAcentral lists this small nuclear RNA (125 nucleotides) under Polistes fuscatus (common paper wasp). RNAcentral's name for it is "U5 spliceosomal RNA". It matches the Rfam family "U5 spliceosomal RNA". Rfam says of the family: U5 RNA is a component of both types of known spliceosome. The precise function of this molecule is unknown, though it is known that the 5' loop is required for splice site selection and p220 binding, and that both the 3' stem-loop and the Sm site are important for Sm protein binding and cap methylation. Lineage: Eukaryota; Metazoa; Arthropoda; Insecta; Hymenoptera; Vespidae. The record is from RNAcentral.
UCACUCUGGUUUCCCUUCAUCAUCACGUUUAAAUCUUUCGCCUUUUACUAAAGAUUUCCGUGGAGGGGAACAUAUGAUGAGUUUAUAAUAAAAUUUUUGAGAAUCCCCUACCAUUGGUUGGGGAU